This 1070-nucleotide ribosomal RNA is filed under the name Pseudoalteromonas citrea. Its description in RNAcentral is "bacterial SSU rRNA". It matches the Rfam family "Bacterial small subunit ribosomal RNA", at positions 31 to 1101 of the family's 1533-position model. The record is from RNAcentral. Lineage: Bacteria; Pseudomonadati; Pseudomonadota; Gammaproteobacteria; Alteromonadales; Pseudoalteromonadaceae.
GACAUGCUGCGGCUCUACAUGACGCGUGGAGCGGUAACAGAAAGUAGCUUGCUACUUUGCUGACGAGCGGCGGACGGGUGAGUAAUGCUUGGGAACAUGCCUUGAGGUGGGGGACAACAGUUGGAAACGACUGCUAAUACCGCAUAAUGUCUACGGACCAAAGGGGGCUUCGGCUCUCGCCUUUAGAUUGGCCCAAGUGGGAUUAGCUAGUUGGUGAGGUAAUGGCUCACCAAGGCGACGAUCCCUAGCUGGUUUGAGAGGAUGAUCAGCCACACUGGGACUGAGACACGGCCCAGACUCCUACGGGAGGCAGCAGUGGGGAAUAUUGCACAAUGGGCGCAAGCCUGAUGCAGCCAUGCCGCGUGUGUGAAGAAGGCCUUCGGGUUGUAAAGCACUUUCAGUCAGGAGGAAAGGGUGGUGGUUAAUACCCGUCAUCUGUGACGUUACUGACAGAAGAAGCACCGGCUAACUCCGUGCCAGCAGCCGCGGUAAUACGGAGGGUGCGAGCGUUAAUCGGAAUUACUGGGCGUAAAGCGUACGCAGGCGGUUUGUUAAGCGAGAUGUGAAAGCCCCGGGCUCAACCUGGGAACUGCAUUUCGAACUGGCAAACUAGAGUGUGAUAGAGGGUGGUAGAAUUUCAGGUGUAGCGGUGAAAUGCGUAGAGAUCUGAAGGAAUACCGAUGGCGAAGGCAGCCACCUGGGUCAACACUGACGCUCAUGUACGAAAGCGUGGGGAGCAAACGGGAUUAGAUACCCCGGUAGUCCACGCCGUAAACGAUGUCUACUAGAAGCUCGGAGCCUCGGUUCUGUUUUUCAAAGCUAACGCAUUAAGUAGACCGCCUGGGGAGUACGGCCGCAAGGUUAAAACUCAAAUGAAUUGACGGGGGCCCGCACAAGCGGUGGAGCAUGUGGUUUAAUUCGAUGCAACGCGAAGAACCUUACCUACACUUGACAUACAGAGAACUUACUAGAGAUGGGUUUGGUGCCUUCGGGAACUCUGAUACAGGUGCUGCAUGGCUGUCGUCAGCUCGUGUUGUGAGAUGUUGGGUUAAGUCCCGCAACGAGCGCAC